Long non-coding RNA from Xyrauchen texanus (razorback sucker), 2043 nucleotides. RefSeq lists it as uncharacterized. Lineage: Eukaryota; Metazoa; Chordata; Actinopteri; Cypriniformes; Catostomidae. The record is from RefSeq and is a predicted model, not a curated record. The transcript is spliced from 3 exons.
UUAACCAAGGCUGUGUGGGGCGCUUUCCCUUAGCUUUCCUGGGCUUAAGGGGAGCAACAGAGUCUAAAGAAAUGGAGCAGGCUUUAGUAAAAACCUCCACCAUCUCUUCAGUGUUUAAUUUGUUGCAUGGGAUAAAAUCUGCAAAGUUGGCCUGAUAGUGCUCAGAAAAUAAGCUGGCCGUAGAAGGCUGGAUAAAACGAGAGUAAUUCAACAACUUUGAGUGAGACAAGGUGGGAGAAUCACAGACAGGAUCAAUAGUGAUAGUCUCUGCUGCCCCGGCCACCUCUGGAAUAUUAUUUGCUUCUGGAAAAUGUCUGAGUUUAAGGCAGUUCAGUGUCUUGUAGAUGCCGCGGGUGAUUUCCGGCCAUUCAGCACGGAGAACAGAAGCACCCUGGUGGGCUUCCGAGUCCAUGACCCGUCGCACCUCCUCACCAGCCAAGACAGCAUUAACGUCACUCACCCUCAGAGGGCACAGACAGGCUCCCGAGGCUCCUGACAAACAAACAUCACCCUUACAGCAAAUGAGUACGUGUGCAGUGAGCAGAAUGUUCACUAAUCGCAGUGGGAAAAAAGCAAGUUGGCUGUUCACAGGGUUUCAGACUGCCAGUCCCCUGUUCUCCAGCUCAGGAAACCUGUGAUCCAGCAGAGAGCAGUUGGCAGACACAACAUAACAGCCUGCACUGAUAGAGAGGGGUUGGCUGAGUCCGGGAGGGGUGCGGAGAGAACAACGAUGCUGGAUCAAGAGACUUUGUAUUGCCACAUGACAGUUGUAAGCACAACUUUAAGACAUACAAAGCAAGUGUGUGAAUGUGCAAAUGUGCAAGUAUGCAUUUUUGCAAUGUAUUGUACAUGCAGUACAAUACAAUAUACACAAAACAGUACAAUGUAUAAUGUAAAAUAAUACAAUACUGCAGAGGCUCUCAGCCUUUUUGAGACCAAGGCCCCCCAUUGUCUAAGACAAUAUUCAAAGGCCCCCAUCCCCCAGAAACUAAGAGUGUCAAUAGAUUAACAUACUUUAUCAUGAUUAAAGGGAUAGUUCACUCAAAAUGAAACAUUUCUCAUCAUUUACUCACCCUCAUGCCAUUACAGAUGUGUAUGAUUUUCUUUCUUCAACAGAACAUAAACAAAGACUUUUAGAAGAAUUUCUCAGCUCUGUAGAUCCAUACAAUACAAGUGAACGGUGGUCAGACCUUUGUAGCUCCAAAGAUUACAUAAAGGAAACAUAAAUGUAAUCUAUAAGGCUCCAGUGGUUAAGUCCAUAUCUUCUGAAGCGAUAUAAUAAGUGAGGAUGAGAAACAGAUUUUUACUCUAAAUCUCCACUUUCACUUUCACAUCUGAAAUUCACAUCUGUAACUGAAAGUUACAGUGGUGGUUUAGAGUAAAAAAUAUUGUUCUGUUUCUCACCCACACCUAUUACAGUAUAUUGCAUCUGAAAAUAUUGAUUCAAACAAUGGAGUCACUGGGGAUUUCUUUUAUGUUUCCUUUAUGUGAUUUUUGAUGCUUCAAAGGUCUGAUGCCAUUCACUUGCAUUGUAUGUACCUACAAUAGCAAACAAUAUCCCUUUUCUAAUCAAGAAUGUUUUUUCAAAGUGUAGGGUUCUUGUGAUGGCUUUAUGGCUCUUUGGUGAUUAAAAAGUUCUUCAUGUCACACUAUAGCUUUUUCAGAUGUGCAAAUUGGUUUCUGAGUGUUAAGAAGAGAUCUAAAGACAAUAAUUGACAUAGACAAUAAAUGAAUGCCAACAAAAGCCUUCUUCAGCCAAAUAAAAUAUGACACUGCGUCUACAUGCACUUCCAUAGUCAAUUCGGGAUGGGCUUCAAAGCCACAUCAUUAAUCUAACAGUUAGCUAGCAUUGCUCACCCACAUAUACUCAGUUUACUCACAUAAAACAGGACUUGUAUUACACACACUGUAGAAAACUAAUAUUGGCAUUAUAUAUGUAUGCUGUUUAGCCAGUGUGGAACUGUCUCUCAUAUUUACUCACCCUCAUGUGGUUCCAAACCUUUAUGGCUUGCUUUCUUCCGUGCAACACAAAAUAAAAUGUAA